CCUACGGGAGGCAGCAGUGAGGAAUAUUGGUCAAUGGGCUUACGCCUGAACCAGCCAAGUCGCGUGAGGGAAGACUGCCCUAUGGGUUGUAAACCUCUUUUGUCAGGGAGCAACGCCGGCUACGUGUAGCCGGACUGAGAGUACCUGAAGAAAAAGCAUCGGCUAACUCCGUGCCAGCAGCCGCGGUAAUACGGAGGAUGCGAGCGUUAUCCGGAUUUAUUGGGUUUAAAGGGUGCGUAGGCGGAAUGCCAAGUCAGCGGUAAAAUCGCGGGGCUCAACCUCGCUCCGCCGUUGAAACUGGCGGUCUUGAGUGGGCGAGAAGUAUGCGGAAUGCGUGGUGUAGCGGUGAAAUGCAUAGAUAUCACGCAGAACUCCGAUUGCGAAGGCAGCAUACCGGCGCCCAACUGACGCUGAGGCACGAAAGCGUGGGUAUCGAACAGGAUUAGAUACCCCUGUAGUC
This 460-nucleotide ribosomal RNA is filed under the name uncultured bacterium. RNAcentral describes it as "partial 16S ribosomal RNA". It matches the Rfam family "Bacterial small subunit ribosomal RNA", at positions 338 to 795 of the family's 1533-position model. The record is from RNAcentral.